RNAcentral lists this transfer RNA (92 nucleotides) under Hyphomonadaceae bacterium. RNAcentral's name for it is "tRNA-Gly". The stretch from base 1 to 51 matches the Rfam family "tRNA". Rfam says of the family: Transfer RNA (tRNA) molecules are approximately 80 nucleotides in length. Their secondary structure includes four short double-helical elements and three loops (D, anti-codon, and T loops). Lineage: Bacteria; Pseudomonadati; Pseudomonadota; Alphaproteobacteria; Hyphomonadales; Hyphomonadaceae. The record is from RNAcentral.
GCGGGCGUAGUUCAGAGGUAGAACGUCAGCUUCCCAAGCUGAACGGGCGCUGACUCUCGGACUUGUUUUUCAUGAGUUUUUGCCGCGCCGCG